UAAGCCUGCGAAGGUGGCCUGUGAGGGUUGCUGGAGGUAUCAGAAGUGCGAAUGCUGACAUAAGUAACGAUAAAGCGGGUGAAAAGCCCGCUCGCCGGAAGACCAAGGGUUCCUGUCCAACGUUAAUCGGGGCAGGGUGAGUCGACCCCUAAGGCGAGGCCGAAAGGCGUAGUCGAUGGGAAACGGGUUAAUAUUCCCGUACUUGGUGUUACUGCGAAGGGGGGACGGAGAAGGCUAUGUUGGCCGGGCGACGGUUGUCCCGGUUUAAGCGUGUAGGUGUGUGUUCCAGGUAAAUCCGGUUCACUUUAACACUGAGGCGUGACGACGAGGCACUACGGUGCUGAAGCAACAAAUGCCCUGCUUCCAGGAAAAGCCUCUAAGCAUCAGGUAACAUCAAAUCGUACCCCAAACCGACACAGGUGGUCAGGUAGAGAAUACCAAGGCGCUUGAGAGAACUCGGGUGAAGGAACUAGGCAAAAUGGUGCCGUAACU
This 492-nucleotide ribosomal RNA is filed under the name Salmonella enterica subsp. enterica serovar Rubislaw. Its description in RNAcentral is "partial 23S ribosomal RNA". It matches the Rfam family "Bacterial large subunit ribosomal RNA", at positions 1243 to 1735 of the family's 2925-position model. RNAcentral also lists the same sequence under 3 other names. Lineage: Bacteria; Pseudomonadati; Pseudomonadota; Gammaproteobacteria; Enterobacterales; Enterobacteriaceae. The record is from RNAcentral.